UAGUUACUCCCUCCCUCCAAAAAAGCUUGUCCCUCAAAUAAAUGUAUCUAACACCAAGUUAGUGCUAGAUACAUUCAUUUGAGGAACAAGCUUGGGACAAGCUUUUUUGAACGGAGGGAGUACAUU
Molecule: non-coding RNA, 126 nt
Organism: Triticum aestivum (bread wheat)
Lineage: Eukaryota; Viridiplantae; Streptophyta; Magnoliopsida; Poales; Poaceae
Source: Rfam